RNAcentral lists this ribosomal RNA (253 nucleotides) under uncultured bacterium. RNAcentral's name for it is "partial 16S ribosomal RNA". It matches the Rfam family "Bacterial small subunit ribosomal RNA", at positions 524 to 776 of the family's 1533-position model. The record is from RNAcentral.
UACGGAGGGGGCUAGCGUUAUUCGGAAUUAUUGGGCGUAAAGGGCGCGUAGGCGGCCCGGUAAGUCAAAGGUGAAAUCCCUCGGCUCAACUGAGGAACUGCCUUUGAAACUGUCGGGCUUGAGGCCGGGAGGGGGUAGCGGAAUUCCCAGUGUAGCGGUGAAAUUCGUAGAUAUGGGGAGGAACACCGGUGGCGAAGGCGGCCAUCUGGACGGUAACUGACGCUGAGACGCGAAAGCGUGGGUAGCAAACAGG